RNAcentral lists this ribosomal RNA (497 nucleotides) under uncultured bacterium. RNAcentral's name for it is "partial 16S ribosomal RNA". It matches the Rfam family "Bacterial small subunit ribosomal RNA", at positions 28 to 507 of the family's 1533-position model. The record is from RNAcentral.
GAUGAACGCUGGCGGCGUGCCUAAUACAUGCAAGUCGAGCGAACAGACGAGGAGCUUGCUCCUUUGACGUUAGCGGCGGACGGGUGAGUAACACGUAGGUAACCUACCUAUAAGACUGGGAUAACUUCGGGAAACCGGAGCUAAUACCGGAUAAUAUUUUGAACCGCAUGGUUCGAUAGUGAAAGACGGCUUUGCUGUCACUUAUAGAUGGACCCGCGCCGCAUUAGCUAGUUGGUAAGGUAACGGCUUACCAAGGCGACGAUGCGUAGCCGACCUGAGAGGGUGAUCGGCCACACUGGAACUGAGACACGGUCCAGACUCCUACGGGAGGCAGCAGUAGGGAAUCUUCCGCAAUGGGCGAAAGCCUGACGGAGCAACGCCGCGUGAGUGAUGAAGGUCUUCGGAUCGUAAAACUCUGUUAUUAGGGAAGAACAAAUGUGUAAGUAACUAUGCACGUCUUGACGGUACCUAAUCAGAAAGCCACGGCUAACUACGUG